ACUAUUUUGGCAGAAAAGUGCAGUGGAUUUAGAAUCUAUAAAUAUAGAUUAAUAUCUAUAGAUAGUA
This 67-nucleotide transfer RNA is filed under the name Symploce maxima. Its description in RNAcentral is "tRNA-Leu". It matches the Rfam family "tRNA". From Rfam's summary of the family: Transfer RNA (tRNA) molecules are approximately 80 nucleotides in length. Lineage: Eukaryota; Metazoa; Arthropoda; Insecta; Blattodea; Blattellidae. The record is from RNAcentral.